UGCCGGAAGAUACAUCAUGAAUAUUUGAUUAACAACUUUUAAACCGGAAUGUGCUUGACUUAAUUUCAAACCUAACCGGGCUUAGUCGGAUAAAACAAAUGUGUUUAUUUUCGGGUGCUGGAAGAAGGACUUGUGUCUUGCGCAGCAUAGUCCUUUGACAACAUUUCUAUAUAGAUACAAAAUAGUAUACGCAGAGGUAUCCCGUUUCCUGUAUCCUGCUUCUAUUCGAAACGAACAGAUACUUAAAAUCAUUGUUUACGUUGCAGUCUACUUAGGGUCCCAUUAAAAUUAU
This 292-nucleotide long non-coding RNA is filed under the name Mytilus galloprovincialis (Mediterranean mussel). The record is from RNAcentral. Lineage: Eukaryota; Metazoa; Mollusca; Bivalvia; Mytilida; Mytilidae.